GUCCACACGGUAAACGAUGAAUACUCGCUGUUGGCGAUAUACUGUCAGCGGCCAAGCGAAAGCAUUAAGUAUUCCACCUGGGGAGUACGCCGGCAACGGUGAAACUCAAAGGAAUUGACGGGGGCCCGCACAAGCGGAGGAACAUGUGGUUUAAUUCGAUGAUACGCGAGGAACCUUACCCGGGCUUAAAUUGCACUGGACAGGCUCAGAGAUGGGCCCUUCUUCGGACCAGUGUGAAGGUGCUGCAUGGUUGUCGU
RNAcentral lists this ribosomal RNA (257 nucleotides) under uncultured bacterium. RNAcentral's name for it is "partial 16S ribosomal RNA". It matches the Rfam family "Bacterial small subunit ribosomal RNA", at positions 793 to 1055 of the family's 1533-position model. The record is from RNAcentral.